Molecule: non-coding RNA, 68 nt
Organism: Myotis lucifugus (little brown bat)
Lineage: Eukaryota; Metazoa; Chordata; Mammalia; Chiroptera; Vespertilionidae
Source: Rfam
GGCUGGAUAGCUCAGUUGGUUUGAGCAUUGUCCUGAUAUGCCAAGGUUAUGGGUUCAAUCUCCAGUCA